CCUACGGGAUGCAGCAGUGAGGAAUAUUGGUCAAUGGGCGGAAGCCUGAACCAGCCAAGUAGCGUGCAGGAUGACGGCCCUCCGGGUUGUAAACUGCUUUUAUACGGGAAUAACGCGCCUUACGUGUAGGGCUUUGCAUGUACCGUAUGACUCAUGACCGGCUAAUUCCGUGCCCGCAGCCGCGGUAAUACGGAAGGUCCGGGCGUUAUCCGGAUUUAUUGGGUUUAAAGGGAGCGUAGGCCGAAGGUCAAGCGUGCUGUGAAAUGUCCGGGCUCAACCCGGGCCUUGCAGCGCGAACUGGAGUGCUUGAGUCCGCGGAAAGCAGGCGGAAUGCGUGGUGUAGCGGUGAAAUGCUGAGAUAUGACGAAGAACCCCGAGUGCGAAGGCAGCUGGCUGCAGCGGAACUGACGCUGAUGCUCGAAAGCGCGGGUAUCGAACAGGAUUAGAUACCCUUGUAGUC
This 460-nucleotide ribosomal RNA is filed under the name uncultured bacterium. Its description in RNAcentral is "partial 16S ribosomal RNA". It matches the Rfam family "Bacterial small subunit ribosomal RNA", at positions 338 to 795 of the family's 1533-position model. The record is from RNAcentral.